This 453-nucleotide ribosomal RNA is filed under the name Laurera gigantospora. RNAcentral's name for it is "eukaryotic LSU rRNA". It matches the Rfam family "Eukaryotic large subunit ribosomal RNA", at positions 132 to 600 of the family's 3401-position model. Lineage: Eukaryota; Fungi; Ascomycota; Dothideomycetes; Trypetheliales; Trypetheliaceae. The record is from RNAcentral.
AUCCGGCCGAGUUGUAAUUUGCAGAGGAUGUUAUGGAAUCUGUAUGGACUCAAGUCCUUUGGAAAAAGGCGCCACGGAGAGUGACAGUCUCGUACUUUCCAAUACAUUUUCCACGUAUAACUCCUUCAAAGAGUCGAGUUGUUUGGGAAUGCAGCUCAAAGUGGGACGUAAAUUUGUUCCAAAGCUAAAUACCGGCUAGAAACCGAUAGCGCACAAGUAGAGUGAUCGAAAGAUGAAAAGCACUUUGAAAAGAGAGUUAAAAAGCACGUGAAAUUGUUGAAAGGGAAGCUUAUGUCAUCAGAACUGACGUCGUUGUUCAGCCUUUUGGUGUAUUCAAUGAUCGUCAUGCCAGCAUCAAUUUGGGUAGUUGGAUAAAAGUGUUGGAAAUGUAACUCUUUCGGGAGUGUUAUAGUCCGAUACAGAAUGCAACUCAUCCAGAUUGAGGACCGCCUU